GACGAACGCUGGCGGCGUGCUUAACACAUGCAAGUCGAACGGAAAGGCCCUGCUUUUGUGGGGUGCUCGAGUGGCGAACGGGUGAGUAACACGUGAGUAACCUGCCCUUGACUUUGGGAUAACUUCAGGAAACUGGGGCUAAUACCGGAUAGGAGCUCCUGCUGCAUGGUGGGGGUUGGAAAGUUUCGGCGGUUGGGGAUGGACUCGCGGCUUAUCAGCUUGUUGGUGGGGUAGUGGCUUACCAAGGCUUUGACGGGUAGCCGGCCUGAGAGGGUGACCGGCCACAUUGGGACUGAGAUACGGCCCAGACUCCUACGGGAGGCAGCAGUGGGGAAUAUUGCACAAUGGGCGGAAGCCUGAUGCAGCAACGCCGCGUGCGGGAUGACGGCCUUCGGGUUGUAAACCGCUUUCGCCUGUGACGAAGCGUGAGUGACGGUAAUGGGUAAAGAAGCACCGGCUAACUACGUGCCAGCAGCCGCGGUGAUACGUAGGGUGCGAGCGUUGUCCGGAUUUAUUGGGCGUAAGGGCUCGUAGGUGGUUGAUCGCGUCGAAAGUGUAAUCUUGGGGUUUAACCCUGAGCGUGCUUUCGAUACGGGUUGACUUGAGGAAGGUAGGGGAGAAUGGAAUCCCUGGUGGAGCGGUGGAAUGCGCAGAUAUCAGGAGGAACACCAGUGGCGAAGGCGGUUCUCUGGGCCUUUCCUGACGCUGAGGAGCGAAAGCGUGGGGAGCGAACAGGUUUAGAUACCCUGGUAGUCCACGCUGUAAACGGUGGGUACUAGGUGUGGGGUCCAUUCCACGGGUUCCGUGCCGUAGCUAACGCUUUAAGUACCCCGCCUGGGGAGUACGGCCGCAAGGCUAAAACUCAAAGGAAUUGACGGGGCCCCGCACAAGCGGCGGAGCAUGCGGAUUAAUUCGAUGCAACGCGUAGAACCUUACCUGGGUUUGACAUGGAUCGGGAGUGCUCAGAGAUGGGUGUGCCUCUUUUGGGGUCGGUUCACAGGUGGUGCAUGGCUGUCGUCAGCUCGUGUCGUGAGAUGUUGGGUUAAGUCCCGCAACGAGCGCAACCCUUGUUCACUGUUGCCAGCACGUUAUGGUGGGGACUCAGUGGAGACCGCCGGGGUCAACUCGGAGGAAGGUGGGGAUGACGUCAAGUCAUCAUGCCCCUUAUGUCCAGGGCUUCACGCAUGCUACAAUGGCUGGUACAGAGAGUGGCGAGCCUGUGAGGGUGAGCGAAUCUCGGAAAGCCGGUCUCAGUUCGGAUUGGGGUCUGCAACUCGACCUCAUGAAGUCGGAGUCGCUAGUAAUCGCAGAUCAGCAACGCUGCGGUGAAUACGUUCCCGGG
RNAcentral lists this ribosomal RNA (1342 nucleotides) under uncultured bacterium. RNAcentral describes it as "16S ribosomal RNA". It matches the Rfam family "Bacterial small subunit ribosomal RNA", at positions 28 to 1378 of the family's 1533-position model. The record is from RNAcentral.